Molecule: ribosomal RNA, 594 nt
Filed under: uncultured Bacteroidota bacterium
Lineage: Bacteria; Pseudomonadati; Bacteroidota
Description: bacterial SSU rRNA
Rfam family: Bacterial small subunit ribosomal RNA
Source: RNAcentral
CAACCUGCCGACAACACUGGGAUAGCCUUUCGAAAGAAAGAUUAAUACCGGAUGGCAUAGUUUUCCCGCAUGGGAUGAUUAUUAAAGAAUUUCGGUUGUCGAUGGGGAUGCGUUCCAUUAGGCAGUUGGCGGGGUAACGGCCCACCAAACCAACGAUGGAUAGGGGUUCUGAGAGGAAGGUCCCCCACAUUGGAACUGAGACACGGUCCAAACUCCUACGGGAGGCAGCAGUGAGGAAUAUUGGUCAAUGGACGAGAGUCUGAACCAGCCAAGUAGCGUGAAGGAUGACUGCCCUAUGGGUUGUAAACUUCUUUUAUACGGGAAUAAAGUGAGCCACGUGUGGCUUUUUGUAUGUACCGUAUGAAUAAGGAUCGGCUAACUCCGCGCCAGCAGCCGCGGUAAUACGGAGGAUUCGAGCGUUAUCCGGAUUUAUUGGGUUUAAAGGGAGCGUGGGCGGGUUGUUAAGUCAGUUGUGAAAGUUUGCGGCUCAACCGUAAAAUUGCAGUUGAUACUGGCGACCUUGAGUGCAACAGAGGUAGGCGGAAUUCGUGGUGUAGCGGUGAAAUGCUUAGAUAUCACGAAGAACUCCGAUUG